AGGGCGACGUGUCGCUGUUCCCGGCGGCUGCGUCGCCAUUGCCGAAGGUUUGGAAGGAGCGCCCGGCUGAGAGCCAUCGGUGGACCUCAUCACUCGGUGGCGUCGAGAAAGCUUGCUUCCCUCCUCUUUAAUUUUUGCGGCACCGCAACCCAGGAAAAUCUAGGGUUUGGCAAUAUCCAGAAUUUUGAUUUGAUUUUCCUGUGGUUUUUUCCUAGCUUGGAGGGUGAAGUGUGGGAUGUUAGGUUUCACCUAGAUGGAAAAGAUAAUUUGGAGAAGAAACUAAGCAAAUCUUACAUUACAUAUACCAAUAUGCUAGCAAUGUUAGAGAUACGGGGAUAUGGCCGGGGUUACAGCAUGUACUAUGUAAAAGAAGAGGGCACAGGCAUAGAAGGGAUGGCACUCAUCAACAGCAUGAUUGACGUUGAAGAAAUGCUGGAACUGUAUAAGGAUGCCGGAUGUGUUUCCAUUACUGUAACCAAGGGUGAAUCAGGUCUGCCUGCAGAUAUAAACAGGAAACAAUGUGAAGAACAAAUUCCUAUAUCUGAAAUAGGAGUGCCUGUUGUUUAUUCAGUAGACAUGCAGGGUGUGCUGACUACAAAAUACCACUUAGUACAUGCUAUUCCUAUAUCUGUAAUGUAUGAGGAUUGUCUGUCGAUUCAAAAAACCCAGGAUCCAGUGAUUACAAAAGGUUCAGAUGAUGAUAUGUACUCUAGAACCACCGGGUCACAAAGUUUUCAAACUCCAACGAAGGAUUCAGAGUACAAUUAUGUAGAUGUUGAGCAUACUGAUAAUUUAGACAAAAAGAAGAGGAAACUUGUUUCUCCAUCUGACGCCACGUCAACAAAGAGACCAAAACAUACUGCAAGAGAUCAUCGCGAGUCUGUGGCAUAGUAUAGACCAAAGAAGUUCAAACACCAAUGCAAAGCAAAAAGACUGUACAACCUCCUAGUGACAUCAAACAAAUUUGCAUCGUAAGUAAUUUAUCAUGCACUGCAUAAUGUUCAUAUCUUCCACUUGUUAAUUUUAACCUUUUGGAUUUCCUUGCAGAACUGAGGUAUUCAAUGCACCAGUUAUGCACAGUGCUAUUCCUGACUUCAAUGUACCAAACGAUGGGGCUGACAUUGCUAGACAAUUUAGUAGUGGUCAGUUACUGGAUGGUACUACAUUGGACCACAUCAUUGACGAGAUGAGGAGUACCUCCGAUUUGUACGCUACUGGAGAAAGAGUGUUGUUAAGCCCAGGAUUUAUCAUGCAUGUUCUCCAGGUGGGUAUUUGGAAUCAGACAAAAGAACAAAUAGAAGAAGCCUCUCAAAAAAGGGAUCAAACAUUUAACUACAAAAAAGAUUUCGAUCUGCAAACUGCACUGGACACUUUCCCUAGAUAUGUUGACAAAGAAAAGAGCCUUCUUGACGCAAAACUUAUAUUGAUGCCGUGCUUCAAAAGUUAUCACUAUACUUUGUAUGUGAUGAACAAAUACAAAAAAGAAUUCGAAAUAUUGGACUCUAGAAACUAUGCUGACACAAAGGGAUGUACUCCACUGUAUACAAGGAGCACAUACCAUACGGAAUGCGAUAUCAUAGUAAGUAGAGAAUAAUUUUCCAUGCUUUCAAAAUAAUAAUAUUUGUUGUUGUGGAUCAUUAGUUUGGAAUCAUUUAUUUCCUGAUUCCUACAGAUGGCAAGGAUGGAACUUCUGCUCAAAACAGUAUAUGGUUUAGACGCAUACAAUGCAAGUAAUCAACCAAAAAGAUGGGUUUCCCUUGCAAACAAGCCAAUAUAUAUCAGGUGCCCACACCAAGGAGUAAAUCAGUGCGCAUUUUACUGUUUGAUGGGUGCGUACCUAUACGAUGGAAAGGUUCUGUUGGGUAAAAGGGAAGGAUAUCAGCCAAUUCUAAAUGAUCACGUAAGUGUUAGUGAACUACACAUUGUUAGUAAGAUACAGUGUUUAUAAGAUAUGCAGUAACUACUAUUGUCUUCGUCCAUUCCAGCCCUUUAUAAAUGACAUUAAAGCUGAGUAUCUGUACAUCUUAAUAUUCACCGUGCACAACAAGGCCAAUUUGCCAGAGGAAAUCCUAGAAUUAAAACCCCCAUGCUCAUUUUAUGAGUGAAGAAAUCAUAGUAAGAAUGUUCACAUGUUCAAAACUGAUUUUUCAUAAAACAAUUAAAUCUCUCAUAUAUUUAUUAACUUGUUAUUCAUUGUUGCCUACUAUAUUUUGAAGCACAUCCCCUAUGGUGAAUGGUGGAGCACUACACAUGAAUCGUAUGUGUCGGUUCAUUUCCUCGAAUACCUUUUGAUGCUGUUUUGGUGAACUUGAAUACAUUGUGAUGAUCUUAGAUCUUAGUACUUGUGUUGGACCUUCAUCGUGUACUGUAAACCUAUAUCGUGUAGAACUUUGUAUACACUAUA
Long non-coding RNA from Lolium perenne, 2404 nucleotides. RefSeq lists it as uncharacterized. NCBI's taxonomy places the organism in Eukaryota, Viridiplantae, Streptophyta, Magnoliopsida, Poales, Poaceae. The record is from RefSeq and is a predicted model, not a curated record.